AAAUAAUUUGUUUACUGUUAUUUUAUGAAAUAUUAUUAUAUUAUUUUGAGUAGUUCAAGUCAUAUCAAAUACAAUAAAUUUCAACUCAGUGAGAGAGCUCAGGUUAAAUCUAGCUCCUAUACAUUGAAAAAUUUUAAUAAGGGCGUCCUGGCCUGAUUCAUCCACUUCAAUCCAUCUGCCUCUACAGGGAUGCAGCUAGCUCAGGAUUGGGCCUGGAUUGGCCAUACCAGAGUAUAUCCAUGUUUGUCCAUAUAUCAUUUUUUGAAUCCUUUUGUCUAUUUUAUUUACCUAAAUUCUAUUUGCCUAUAUCUCACUUGCUUCAAUCCCAUUUCCCUGAAUAUAAGUUCCUAUAUUUAGGUAUAGUCAAAGUUUUCAUUGAAAGUCAAAGUCAAGUUAAAACAUUGCCCACUAUUAGGAAAAAAUUUAAUAAAACAUUUAUUUAUCAAUAAAACUACUAGUAAUAUUUAAAUAUGAUUAUUUUACGUUGUAUUUUUCAAUAUCUGGAUUAAAAUUGUUUAAGUAAUAUAUAAUAAUGUACUUAAAUAUUCAUCAAUUAAGUUUUAUUUUUGUAGUGCAUAAAUUAACA
This 586-nucleotide long non-coding RNA is filed under the name Androctonus crassicauda. The record is from RNAcentral. Lineage: Eukaryota; Metazoa; Arthropoda; Arachnida; Scorpiones; Buthidae.